Molecule: unclassified non-coding RNA, 1178 nt
Filed under: Hevea brasiliensis (rubber tree)
Lineage: Eukaryota; Viridiplantae; Streptophyta; Magnoliopsida; Malpighiales; Euphorbiaceae
Source: RNAcentral
GGAACUCAUAUGACUGUUUUACAUUCUUCACCCCCAUGCAACUAUUAUUACAGUUAAUGAACAAACAAUAAAUGGAUACAACUCUACAAUGGCCGUCUGAUUCAAAAAUUACAGAGAAAAAAAAAAUAAUUAAAAAAUCUAUUCUACACUCUCCCUGAAAUUGCACUGCUACACAAAAAAUAUCUACCUUGCCAACACCUUCUUGGUGAUUACAACACCUGUGUAGUAUCAUUAUGGCAAUCCUGCAAUUCUCUACUCUCGAACUGAAUCGCCAUUUGUAUCCUUCUGCUCUGUGACCUCAUUGGACGAUUUGCCAUUGUUUGCCUCCUCAACAUUUGUGGGUUUCGCUUGCUUGUUUCGGUCACGCCAACCAAGUCCAAAUGGUCGAGCUAGCAAACCAAUCUUUCUUGUAGGAAUGUCUUGUGCAGGCUCUUGAUUGAUUCGUGGUGAAUCUGGAUUAGAAGAUCGUGGUGAAGGUUGUGCUUUAAGCUGUCCAGAUUGAUACUGUAACGUAGCCUCCAACAUUGAUUCUGCCAUAACUGCUCUUUUCUCCAUUUCAGCCAAAGAUGCAAUGGCUUCUUCAUACUUUUCCUGAAGAACUUGAGAAGCAUAUCUCUGUGCUGCUGCAUCUUGCUCGGCAAAUCUGCGAGCAUCUUCUGUUACCUUCUGCUCUUGCUCCACCCUCAUUAAAACCUGAAGCAUAGCAUUUUCUUGUUCCUGCUUAUCAGCAAGGGCCCUCCGCAGCUCAGAAACCUCCUGCUCUAACUGUUCAACCCUAGCACUCAAUUGCCGCCGAUUGUCUUGCUUGACCAUCUCCAUCAAAGCAGUCUCCAACUCUUCUGCCCUGAGUACAGCAGAUCUUUUCUCCUCUAGCAACUUGCACAAUUCGACCUUCAACCACACCACCUGAUCUUGAAGAUCUGGAACACUGUCUAUCUCUACGUCCCCUGUCAAGCUUAUAAGAACCUCAUCUGAGUUGGUGGAUCCAGACCCUGAACGAGAUAAAUCACCACCAGACUGCUUAUUUGUUUCUACUAGCAUUGACUUGGGAUCAUGCUUGAAAUUAUAGAGCUUCAAUGCCAGACCCUGCGAAUCUCUCCAUGCUUGAAGCCCUUUUUUUCUUUCCUCAACUGCAGUUAUAACAGCAGCUCGAUGCUUAUUUCUCAACUCUUGUAAUC